UCCCAGACUCCUACGGGAGGCAGCAGUGGGGGAUAUUGCACAAUGGGGGGAACCCUGAUGCAGCGACGCCGCGUGGGUGAAGGAGUGCUUCGGCAUGUAAAGCCCUAUCGGCAGGGAAGAAGCAAGACGGUACCUGACUAAGAAGCCCCGGCUAACUACGUGCCAGCAGCCGCGGUAAUACGUAGGGGGCGAGCGUUAUCCGGAUUCACUGGGUGUAAAGGGAGCGUAGACGGCCAUGCAAGCCAGGAGUGAAAGCCCGGGGCCCAACCCCGGGACUGCUCUUGGAACUGCGCGGCUGGAGUGCAGGAGGGGCAGGCGGAAUUCCUGGUGUAGCGGUGAAAUGCGUAGAUAUCAGGAGGAACACCGGUGGCGAAGGCGGCCUGCUGGACUGCGACUGACGUUGAGGCCCGAAAGCGUGGGGAGCAAACAGGAUUAGAUACCCUAGUAU
Molecule: ribosomal RNA, 448 nt
Filed under: uncultured bacterium
Lineage: Bacteria
Description: partial 16S ribosomal RNA
Rfam family: Bacterial small subunit ribosomal RNA
Source: RNAcentral